GACGAACGCUGGCGGCGUGCUUAACACAUGCAAGUCGAACGCUGGACCCGCUUCGGUGGGGGAUGAGUGGCGAACGGGUGAGUAACACGUGGGCAACCUGCCCCCGGCUCUGGGAUAACUCCAAGAAAUUGGGGCUAAUACCGGAUGUGACCGCUGGCCGCAUGGUCUGGUGGUGGAAAGGGUUUCCGGCUGGGGAUGGGCCCGCGGCCUAUCAGCUUGUUGGUGGGGUAGUGGCCUACCAAGGCGACGACGGGUAGCCGGCCUGAGAGGGUGACCGGCCACACUGGGACUGAGACACGGCCCAGACUCCUACGGGAGGCAGCAGUGGGGAAUAUUGCGCAAUGGGCGGAAGCCUGACGCAGCGACGCCGCGUGGGGGAUGACGGCCUUCGGGUUGUAAACCUCUUUCAGCAGGGACGAAGCGCAAGUGACGGUACCUGCAGAAGAAGCACCGGCCAACUACGUG
Molecule: ribosomal RNA, 465 nt
Filed under: uncultured bacterium
Lineage: Bacteria
Description: partial 16S ribosomal RNA
Rfam family: Bacterial small subunit ribosomal RNA
Source: RNAcentral